Molecule: non-coding RNA, 26 nt
Filed under: Cricetulus griseus (Chinese hamster)
Lineage: Eukaryota; Metazoa; Chordata; Mammalia; Rodentia; Cricetidae
Source: RNAcentral
UUGUGCAUGAUGAUACCCUGAUAUAU